Molecule: ribosomal RNA, 436 nt
Filed under: uncultured bacterium
Lineage: Bacteria
Description: bacterial SSU rRNA
Rfam family: Bacterial small subunit ribosomal RNA
Source: RNAcentral
UGAGGAAUAUUGGUCAAUGGGCGGGAGCCUGAACCAGCCAAGCCGCGUGAGGGAGGAAGGCCCUAUGGGUCGUAAACCUCUUUUGUCAGGGAACAAAAGCGAGUAUGUAUACUAGUCUGAGUGUACCUGAAGAAAAACGCAAUCGGCUAACUCCGUGCCAGCAGCCGCGGUAAUACGGAGGAUGCGAGCGUUAUCCGGAUUUAUUGGGUUUAAAGGGUGCGUAGGCGGCGGUGCAAGUCAGCGGUAAAAGCCCGGGGCUCAACCCCGGCGAGCCGCUUGAAACUGCAGUGCUAGAGAAGGCGAGAGGUACGCGGAAUGCGCAGUGUAGCGGUGAAAUGCUUAGAUAUUGCGCAGAACUCCGAUUGCGAAGGCAGCGUACUGGCGCCUGACUGACGCUGAGGCACGAAAGCGUGGGGAUCGAACAGGAUUAGAUACC